Molecule: small RNA, 130 nt
Filed under: Caenorhabditis remanei
Lineage: Eukaryota; Metazoa; Nematoda; Chromadorea; Rhabditida; Rhabditidae
Description: Caenorhabditis sRNA ceN56
Rfam family: Caenorhabditis sRNA ceN56
Source: Rfam by way of RNAcentral
UGCCUUAUGAUUACAAACUUUGCUGAUUCCUGCCCACCCGAAGGCGUCAGAGAUCUGGGAAGGUGUCCCGGGUUGAGGACGACGUCGAUAACGGUGGGAACUAUGAUACAGAUUAUGAGAGAUGAGGGCU